CUGACCCUGAAUCAAGGCCGGCAGCUUCCUGACACUGUUGGUUUCAAGCAGGAGCCUAAAGAUAUGUCUUUCUGUGGUCUGUUGGCCGGUUCAGAACUUGGGCAGUGAAACGGUCAAUCGUUAGAAAGACACAGCU
Molecule: small nucleolar RNA, 136 nt
Organism: Cavia aperea (Brazilian guinea pig)
Lineage: Eukaryota; Metazoa; Chordata; Mammalia; Rodentia; Caviidae
Source: Ensembl